Molecule: long non-coding RNA, 473 nt
Filed under: Homo sapiens (human)
Lineage: Eukaryota; Metazoa; Chordata; Mammalia; Primates; Hominidae
Description: HSALNT0065496
Source: RNAcentral
GCCAUUUUGGUCCGAGUCCCAGGCGCCUGCUGGAGAGCCUCUCUGAAGUCCUGCAGUGGGGAUCAUCAGUGCCAGGGGGCGGUCUCUAAGCCCAAGUGCCCCUACCCUUUCCCUACCUUUGGGUGUUACCUUUAGAGUAGACAACAGUGGGCAGAGGAGCUGCAUCUAGAUGGCUGUGAGAGGCAGGAGGGGUUCCUGGGGGCUCAGCGGGCUCUGCAGGGGCACAUGGGACAGGAGUCAGGUUUGUCCAGGAGAGUGGCCAGUGAGGUGAGAGCUGCACCUGAGAGGUCACCAGAAGAGGCCCCUACCUGAGCUGCACACCUGCAGGGCCCCAGGCAGGACCUCCCUAGUAGUAGCAUCCACAGCUACAGGGCAAGUGAAGCAGGAGGGGGCAGAGCUGACCUUACUUGUCUGAAGGGCUCGAAGCCAGCACCUCCGGGCAUGGCCUGUGGAACCAAGGAGCAGUCUGUGGA